AGCAUAUCUUGUGCUUGAGGGUCAAAUGCAGAUUCAAUCUCAACUCAGUUAGUGUGUUUUCGGUGUUAGCCAAAAUGAAAACCAGACGACUUGAAAGAACUGCUUGAAAGAUUCGGCAGUGCAAUGACACCAGCUGCAAGAGCACAUACAGAAGCCAAGGCAAAGGCAGGUAUAUUGCCACCACCAAACAAAGCAUCCCAUGGACCCGCACCAAGGGAUA
Molecule: unclassified non-coding RNA, 220 nt
Filed under: Hevea brasiliensis (rubber tree)
Lineage: Eukaryota; Viridiplantae; Streptophyta; Magnoliopsida; Malpighiales; Euphorbiaceae
Source: RNAcentral